UUUUCCUACGGGGCGCAGCAGUGGGGAAUAUUGGGCAAUGGGCGCAAGCCUGACCCAGCAACGCCGCGUGAAGGAAGAAGGCCCUCGGGUUGUAAACUUCUUUUAUCAAGGACGAAACAAAUGACGGUACUUGAUGAAUAAGCCACGGCUAACUACGUGCCAGCAGCCGCGGUAAUACGUAGGGAGCAAGCGUUAUCCGGAUUUAUUGGGUGUAAAGGGUGCGUAGACGGGAAAUUAAGUUAGUUGUGAAAUCCCUCGGCUCAACUGAGGAACUGCAACUAAAACUGAUUUUCUUGAGUGCAGGG
Molecule: ribosomal RNA, 305 nt
Filed under: uncultured bacterium
Lineage: Bacteria
Description: bacterial SSU rRNA
Rfam family: Bacterial small subunit ribosomal RNA
Source: RNAcentral